CAGUAGCCGCGGUAAUACGUAGGGUCCGAGCGUUGUCCGGAAUUAUUGGGCGUAAAGGGCUCGUAGGCGGUUUGUUGCGUCGGGAGUGAAAACCUACAGCUUAACUGUGGGCUUGCUUUCGAUACGGGCAGACUUGAGGCAUUCAGGGGAGAACGGAAUUCCUGGUGUAGCGGUGAAAUGCGCAGAUAUCAGGAGGAACACCGGUGGCGAAGGCGGUUCUCUGGGAAUGUUCUGACGCUGAGGAGCGAAAGUGUGGGGAGCGAACAGGAUUAGAUACCCCUGUAGUCCCUGUCUCUUAUAC
Molecule: ribosomal RNA, 301 nt
Filed under: uncultured bacterium
Lineage: Bacteria
Description: partial 16S ribosomal RNA
Rfam family: Bacterial small subunit ribosomal RNA
Source: RNAcentral